This 84-nucleotide transfer RNA is filed under the name Grifola frondosa (maitake). It matches the Rfam family "tRNA". Rfam says of the family: Transfer RNA (tRNA) molecules are approximately 80 nucleotides in length. Their secondary structure includes four short double-helical elements and three loops (D, anti-codon, and T loops). The record is from Rfam by way of RNAcentral. Lineage: Eukaryota; Fungi; Basidiomycota; Agaricomycetes; Polyporales; Grifolaceae.
UCCGAUAUGGUGUAGUGGCUAACAUUAUCGCCUCUCAUGAAAUUGUGUGCGCGAUAGCCCGGGGUUCGAUUCCCCGUGUCGGAA